This is an RNA transcript of Ahaetulla prasina, 8681 nucleotides long. It is a transcript of the gene named zinc finger protein 93-like, with no coding region annotated. The record is from RefSeq and is a predicted model, not a curated record. The transcript has 6 exons. NCBI's taxonomy places the organism in Eukaryota, Metazoa, Chordata, Lepidosauria, Squamata, Colubridae.
ACUCCGCAGGAGGCGGAGAGGGUGCGGGAGAGUCUGGAGGAGGGAGAUCCAGACGUGCCCCGGGUGAGUUGGGGGCUCUUCCCGGGCAAAGGGAGGCGGAGGAGGGAGAGACCCGCGCCCGGCCCUCCUCCGGCUUCAACUCCGGGUCCCAUGCUCCCCAGCCGCCCUCUCCAUGCUGGGAGGAAAGCGGAGCUCCAAAGCAGCAGCAGCAGAAGAAGAACCGGGGAUCCCAGGAAAGCGGCGGAGAUCCAGAGAUCCUUUACCGUGUCCGGGGAAGAGCCGAGUGGGGGGAGAGGAGGGUCGGCCUUGCGGAGGCCCAGCAGGAGAGGAGAGAAGCCGAGCGAGGAGGAGGCAGGAUUCGCACCAGGCUCCCCAAGGGCCCGAUCCUGUCUCCGGAGGGGGAGAGAAGCGGGGCGGCCUCUCCAGCUGCUUCCUUCCCGGCCCUGCUGGGUGGGUGGGGGGACCUUGGCCCUUCGCUUGGAUGGCCCGCUUGGAGCUCCGGAUUGUGUGAACCUGCCUGAGUGUCAGAGGGAACCCUCGGCUCUUCUCCAAAGGGCAUCCUCAGCUAGGGUCGUUUCCUGCCAUUUUAUUGGAUGUGAAUUGAACUUUCAUGGUUUGUUCACCUUUUUUGGGGUUUGACAGGUUGUGGAGGUAAAUAUAGAUCUAGGUUUUAAAAAGGAAGCCCUUUCUUGUAAGGAAAAAUAGUGCACCCACACUUACACAAAUACACACGUAUGUGCAUGAAACAGGACCUGCUGAAUGCCACUGCGAUCCUAUUCCAGGUUACAAAAAUACCUUCUUCCACAGGGACGACUGCUGCUUCAUUGUUAAAAUUCUCAACUUUCUACUUCUUGGGAUUUUUUUCUUUGCAUCUCAGGUGCAGGAAAUUUUGGUAAAAUUAUCUCCUGGGGGGAAAAAGAGCUGAAUGGCCGCCUGUGAUCAUUCCGGUGACUGUAGGAUCGGCCCUAUCGCUGAAAAGGCAUUUGGAGCGCCACAACAUCCCUUGAACCCAAUUGGAAUUACGUUAGAGGACAGAGACAAAAUGGAGACACAACUUUUAGCAAGUGAGAGAACUGGAAAAGGCUCUUCUGCUAUUGGGUUUGGGACCUGUGGGGAGAUCUGGGCAAGAACUGGGCAGAUCAUCCCGGAGGAGGAAACCACCAUCUCUUCAAAAAUUCAGCCCUGCAACUUCAGGAGCCUCCAAUACCAGGAGGCUGAGGGUCCCCGAGGACUUUGCAGCCGACUCCACAAUUUUUGUAGGCAAUGGCUGAGACCAGAAAAGCACACCAAAGCCCAGAUGCUGGACCUGGUGGUUCUGGAGCAGCUCCUGGCUCUUCUGCCCUCAGAGAUGGAGGGCUGGGUGCGGGAAUGUGGAGCAGAGACGAGCCCCCAGGCGGUGGCCCUGGCUGAAGGUUUCCUCUUGAGCCAGGCGGAGGAGCAAAAGGAGCAGGUCGAGUUGCAGUCUUUCUCUGUGGAGAUCAGAGAUCCUGAGGGAAGGAGGAAUCCAUCAAAUCCCCAUCAGGACCUGGUUUUCAGGAGGAAUCCUCAGGAAGACCCAAGUCAGGUUACCUCAAAAGAGAAACAUAGAAUGAAAUUUUCUGAUCUUUAUGGUGGAGCUGAAACAGUAGUUGAACCGCCAACUGAAGAGGGUCUUGUGUCCUUUGAGGAGGUGGCUGUGUAUUUCUCCGAGGAGGAGUGGUCUGAGUUGGCUCCUGACCAAAAAAUGCUCCAUUCGGAAGUCAUGCUGGAAAAUCACAGGAACGUGGCCUCUUUGGGUAUUAAUGGGCAAGAGAAUAGAGAUACUGAGGAACCAUUUCAAGUAUUCAAUGCUGGAGAUGAAACGCAGAAAUCUGAAAUUCAAAUGGAAAUAGAGAGUCAUGAAAGAAACCAGACAAAUAAUUGGAAUCUGGAAAGCUCAUCUCCCAUUGAUGCUCAGAUGCAAGACUUUCUUGUCCAACAAGGAAAAAUAAAGAAAAAAUAUACUGGGAAAAAUGUAAACCUAUUGAAAGACAAGUUAGAUGUAAAUGAACAUGAUCCAACAGAAAUCAAAAGAGAAGAUUAUAUAUCCAGAGACAAUGGAAACAAUUACAAUUGGACUUUCACCCUUCCUCAUGAAAAUGGCUCCCUUAUAUCUUGUAAAAAGACCCAUACAGAAGAGAAGCGAUAUAAAUGCUUGGAAUGUGGAAAGAGCUUCAGAAGAAGCAGUCAAGUUACUUCCCAUAACUGGAUCCACACUGGGGAAAAGCCAUAUAAGUGCAUGGAAUGUGGAAAAAGUUUCAGUGAGAGCCGUUCCCUUACAUCUCAUAAAUGGAUCCAUACAGGGGAGAAGCCAUAUAAAUGCAGACAGUGUGGAAAGGGGUUUGGUGAAAAUGCAUCUCUCGUGAAACAUAAAAGGAUCCACACAGGGGAGAAGCCAUAUAAAUGUACAGAGUGUGGAAAGAGCUUUAUUCAGAGCAGUCAUCUUUCUUCCCAUAAAAGGAUCCACACAGGGGAGAAGCCAUACAAAUGUAGAGAGUGCGGAAAGGGCUUUACCAAUAGCAGUCAUCUUACUUCUCAUAAAAGGAUCCACACAGGAGAGAAGCCAUAUGAAUGCACAGAGUGCGGAAAGAACUUUACAAACAGCAGUCAACUUAUUUCCCACAACUGGAUCCACACAGGGGAGAAGCCAUAUAAAUGUCUGGAGUGUGGAAAGAGCUUUACUAAUAGAAGUCAACAUACUUCUCAUAAAAAGAUCCACACAGGAGAGAAGCCAUAUAAAUGUGUGAAGUGUGGAAAAUCUUUUACUAAUAGCAGUCAACUAACUUCCCAUAACUGGAUCCACACAGGGGAGAAGCCAUAUAAAUGUCUUGAAUGUGGAAAAGGCUUCUGUCGAAGGAGUUCCUUUACUUCUCAUAAAAGGAUCCACACAGGGGAGAAGCCAUAUACGUGCAGAGAGUGUGGAAAGGGCUUUACUAACAGCGGUCAUCUUACUUCCCAUAAAAGGAUCCAUACAGGGGAGAAGCCGUAUAAAUGCAUGGAGUGUGGAAAGAGCUUCUGUGAAAAUGGGUCCCUUAUGAGACAUAAAAGGAUCCAUACAGGGGAAAAGCCAUAUAAAUGCAUAGUGUGUGGAAAGGGUUUCUGUGAAAAUGGGUCCCUUAUGAGACAUAAACGGAUCCACACAGGAGAGAAGCCGUAUAAAUGCAUAGAGUGUGGAAAGGGUUUCUGUGAAAACGGGUCCCUUAUGAGACAUAAAAGGAUCCACACAGGGGAAAAACCAUAUAAAUGUGUGGAGUGUGAAAAGGGCUUCAGCCAACAGAGUAAACUUAUUUCCCACAAAAGGAUUCACACAGGGGAGAAGCCAUAUAAAUGUCUGGAGUGUGGCAAGAUUUUUAUUCAGAGCAGUCAUCUUGCUUCCCAUAAAAGGAUCCACACAGGGGAGAAACCAUAUAAAUGUAGAGAGUGUGGAAAGAGCUUUAUUCAUAGUGGUUCUCUUACGUUCCAUAAAAGGAUCCAUUUGGGAGAGAAGCCAUAUAAAUGCGGGGAGUGCGGAAAAGGUUUCUGUGAAAAUGCUUCCCUUAUGAAACAUAAAAGAAUCCACACAGGGGAGAAGCCAUUUAAAUGUAUGGAGUGUGGGAAGGGCUUCUGUGAAAAUGGGUCCCUGCUGAGACAUAAAAGGAUCCACACAGGUGAGAAACCAUACAAGUGCAGAGAGUGUGGAAAGAGCUUCCGUCAUAGUGGUUCCCUUACUUUUCAUAAAAGGAUCCACACUGGGGAGAAACCAUAUAAAUGUUUUGAAUGUGGAAAGAGCUUCAGGCGGAGCAAUGACCUAAUUUGCCAUACACAGAUCCAUUUGAAAGAGAAUAUAUGUAAAUUUCAGAUUUAGUGUUAAACCUACGGACAUUCCUCUACUUAUAAACUUUUGGGUUACAAGCUUUUAGUGAUACAAACAAACCUGCAACUCCAACCUAGAAGGUCACAGAUGGCUAGAGAAGGUGGGAAAGGUGCAUUGCAUAUGUUUGUGGUGUGCUUUAAAGUAAUCCUUUCCUGCCUCUUUUUGAUUGCUUACUGUUCACUGUUUAGUAGUUUGGUGACUGGUGUGACUUGUAGAUACUGAAUGUGUGGAAUUAAACUUGAAUGAUGGGGAAGGGAUUAACACAGACGGCUCCAAUCCAUGAUGAUCCAACAAAGAUGGAGAUGCUGAAGAAAAUAGAGUGGGGGAAAAUAAGGAAUGUGGCAUGUUCUCAUUAUAUGAAUUACCGUAAUGAUCAUUAAGAACAUGGGGAAGAUUGUAGAACAUGUAAAAGGUUCAUGUGCCUAUGCACUCCACAGUAACCAAAAGAAGUGGAAAAGUGCGGAAGAGAUAGAGAAGCUAUGCGGCAUGUGGAGCGAAGGUAGCAUCAGUGAUGUGUGCCUAUGAGCUUAAUGCUGAUCCAGGAGAAGGCUUAGAGCUUAUUUCAUGACUUGCAACAGGAGGUUGGUAAAAGUUCUGCUGAAAAUAGGUUUGUUGCAAGACACACAUUUUAAGGCUUGUGCAUAAUGUGAAAGCGAGGUGGCAAGUAUGGAGCCAAGGAGUUCCCAAAAACCCUCAAUGAAAUUGAGGAAAAUUGUUAUUAGGAAAAUUGUUAUUAGGAAAAAAAGUGCCAGGCAAAACUUACAUCAGCAAAGAGGAGAUAAUGAUGCAAAGCUGCAAAAGACAGACUAUGUUGCCAAGUGAGCAACACCUCCGGUGAUCUAAAAUUGCUGCUAGUCUUAUCAUUCUGAGAACCUGUGAAAUCUCAAGAAAAUCUCAAAAUCUCACUUUGUUGUGUAGAAAGCUAAAAAGAAACCUUCGGUCACCCUCAUCUUGGAAGAGCUGUUUUUUUCCCAUCAUUUCAUCCUAGAAAUAUAGAAAUAAUUGCCAUGAGAAAAACAUUGCCUUCAAGAUUCUCAUUUUGGAUAAUGUCUUGGCUCAUCCAUCUCGCUUGGACAAUUUCCAUCUGGACAUGAAGGUUGGGUCUCUGCCUCCAAAUGCCAAUUUCCUCCUACCACUAUGGAUUGUGGGUUAUAGUAACUUUCAGAAAUUAACUUUUCUGAAUAUUCAGCAACAUCUACAUUGACAUCUACAAGGUUAUCAAGAAUAUUGAUGGAGCCUGGCAACUUAUAUGAAUAUGAAUGGGAUACGGGAAUGUCUGUGCCUUCAGUUUGUUCCAUGAUUUUCAAAGAUUUGAAGUGGUGGACAGGAAGUCGCACGGCAUUGUAAGCAACUUGAUUGCUUUCAUCUUGACCCGGAGAAGGUCUUUAAUGAAUUGUUAGCCACGCAUGUGGAAUAACUUCAACAGCAACCUCAUGGAGUUGUAAAAUCAGUGAAUGCAAGAGAAAAUGAUUAAUUUAAUGGAGACUCCAGACCAAGCUGAUGGCAGAGGAAUUCAGCUUGAUCAAGAAAGCCCUGCCAUGUUUGAAAUGCAGGACUGUUUUGAGCAUUUCACCAAGGUGUCUGUAGCUAUCUAAUGGUGCAAUAUAGUGCUAUAGUGUCUAUGAGGAAAAUAGAAAAGAUGAAGGCUAUCACCAAAAAUUCACUGGACCAUUUCUUCAAGAAGAUGGAGAAAUGUGCCAUUUCAACUCUGAAGGAUGAACUUAUAUUGUUGUAAUGAUUUACCACAAUCCUACUACUUAUGCAAGGUUCUUGUUGGAGGUCACUUCCAAGAAAAUGGCCACUUUAUGUAUUUUAGAUUGAGAGCCAUGCAAUUUUAUGAAGAUGUUGCCUUUGUGUUUUUACAAGUGCAUUUCCUUGUUUCUUUCCAAGACUCACUGCAGUGUUUACUGUUGGUUGUUCUUCCCACUAGAUCCUGGUUUUAAGAGGAAUGCUGCCUCCCCAGGCAAUAAAAUAGAAUAGAAUAACAGAGUUGGAAGGGCUCUUGGAGGUCGUCUAGUCCAACCUCCCUGCUUAAGAAGGAGCUACAUCUCCCUUAUGCUGCUGUUCAAGACAAAGCUUUACUAUGUUUAUUCCUCUAUAGCAGACAGGCAGACAGAAAUUCAACAGACACUUCCCACAAUUUAAACUUUCCUUCUUUUGUCUAUUCUCCUUACAAUUGUUUCCACCUUCCUUAAUAUAUUCAGUUUAUCAGAUGACCAUAUACUUCGCUGUUGUCACAAGUUGGACAUGAUGCAGGAGAGAGAUUCUGUGGUCUGAAGGGAUAUUAUAAUCCAAAGGGAACUCAAAGUUCCAUCAAAAUAUACAGAGAAAUAGAUUGUGAUAAGGUAGUCCUUCAUUUAUGAUGUAAUUGAACCUGGAAUUAUGGUUGUUACAUCAUUGCAUUUUAGUCAUGUCAUCACAUGACCAAACAUUUUUGGCACUUUUUCUGGUUGUCAUUAAGCAAAUAAUGAUCAUUACGUGAAUCCAUUUUACCCACUGAACAUGUAGAAACCAGCAAAAAAAUCAAAAGUCACAAUUAUGUGACCAUGCCAAGUGCCCAGAUUGUGAUAACAUAACUUGGGGGACAGGGGCAGCCAUUGUAACUUAGUUGUGAGUAGCUUUGAGGGGAGGGGUUACAAUGUAAUUUCAAAAAUUCACUAACAACCAGUCCUAAACCUAGGAUUACCUGCAUUAAACUGCCCAUUGAAUAAAAGUGACAACAGGAUUUGUGCUUUGAAUUUCCUUCCUUCCCUUGGAAAAAAUGAGAUUUUGCUAAGAAAGAGAUUCCAAAGCAAAAAUGAGGAGAUAAAGGCAUGAAUUGCCCUCACAGUGAUAUAACCAGGCCAAUAAGUAACAAAUCCUUUGACGAAACUUUUUAUCUGAUUAAUAUACGGUAUACCUGGUAUGUCUCAAUAAGACAAAACUUGAUCAACAUUUCUUCCACUAGAGCAGGAAUUUGCAGGCAAGAUUCAUUUAAUCCUCUAUCUAUCCCCUCUGUAAAUACAUCUUUUCUUCCUUUGCUUAAUCUUGUUAAUCUUAAUCUGUUUUUUUCCACCCCGAUUUCUGGUUGAUGUGAUGAUGUUAUCCAUUCAAUUAUGUCCGACUCUUGAUGAUCCUAUGGGCCAGGUCUCAUAGGUUGAUCACAUUUUCCAAUCUUGUACUUUUUUAAGUUGAUUUAUGCUCUGCCUGGUAUCAGUUUUGAUGGUGAUCAGCCAUCGUGUUCUUCGGUGGCCUGGCUUUCUUUUACUGCUAAUUCUUCCAAACAUAACUGCUUUCUCCAGUUAACUGCCCCACAGUGUGGAAAAGAACAAGGAGCUGAGUGGGGAUGUAGGGAAGAGUCAGGGUGGGGUGUAUGGGAAAUAUGUGGGAUUGGGAAGAUGUGUGGGUGAGUGUGAGAGACACCAUGCGAGUCAGGGUGCACAAGGGUACACAAGAUGGCUGGUUUAGUGAUGAUAUGCAAGGUUAUGUGAGGCACUACAUGGUGUGGCGUGGAUGUGUAGGGAUAUGCAAAAAGAAAUAUUUUGUUCAGAGAGGAUAAGGUUGUACAAAUGGCACCACACUGAGAUGGCAUACCUACGCAUGAGUUGCAUCUGACUCACUACUUUCUGGUGGAUUCUCCACUAUUUUGGUUGAGGACCAUCAGAUUCAGUUAAAAAUGGCAACCAGGACUGUUGUUUCUAAAAGAUGCAGUAAUGCCUUGUGACCACAUUGUUUAAAGAUAGAAAUUUUGGUCCCAACUGCUGUCAUAGAUGGAGGACUGCCUGUAAUAAAUAUAGGACGUAAUACCUAUGUUGUUAUUUUAGAUAGCUCUUAUUGGACUUGCUGAUUAAUAUGUAGAGAUAAAUAUUUAGAAAUAAAGAAUAAGGUGAGGUAUGGAGUGAAGAAAUGUUCAGCUGUAUUUUAAAAGUGAUAAGUCAUUAGUAUUGGUUAUACAUAUUGGGGACUAGAAGAAGGAAAUCUGUUUUUCUGUCUUUCUUUUCUGCAGUUUUAAUUUUUUAAAAACAUAUUUCUGUACAAUAUACUUUGUAUAAUAUAAUAUUCAAUAAAAUUACGGGGGGGGAAAGCUAAUAAUAAAGCGUAAAAUUUUGUAUGACACAAACACACACAGGACCUGUCAUUUCAAUACCAUGGCAAUCCUAAUACCAGUUUAGAAAAAGCAAGAUUAUCUUCUUUUACAGAACACUGCUGAAUACUAUUUCCUGGCUCUUCCUUCCCUCUGUCUAAGCAGGGAUGUUAACUUUUUUCUAUAAACUUUCUUAAAAAUACUUUCUUGGAAACUGAUCAAGAAGAGAUUCAACCUAGAAAUAGGGAGAAAUUUUCUGACAGUGAGAACAAUCAACCAAUGGAACUGCUUGCCUUCAAUAGUUGUGGGAGCCUCAUCACUGGAAGCUUUCAAGAAGGGACAGAACUGCUAUUUGUAAGAAAUGGUGUAGGUUCUCCUGCUUGGGGAGGGAAGGCAGCUUGGACUAGAUCAGGGGUCUCCAACCUUGGCAACUUUAAGCCUGGAGGACUUCAACUCCCAGAAUCCCCCAGCCAGCAUCUAGAAGACCUACAAGAUCCCUUCCAACUCUGUUAAAUCUGUUGCAGAUGGAUUUAAAGUUGAAAAAAAGCAGUUAUAUUCAGAAGGCUUUCUGAACUGGGGGGGACACGACCAUCUCCUAUGGAAAAUGCUCUGCAUGAGGACCUGUAUUGCAUACAGCAUCCGCCAGGGAGCGGGCUUGGCCAAGACAAUGGUAUAUCAGAUGCUUCAGGUUGCCUUAAAUUCAGUAAUGGUCUUAAAAGUUUCCAAUUCUUAUUUCCCCUAUGAGGU